UGAGUAAGCCAGACGGUCGCCUGUAACAGGGAGGAAAGUCCGGGCUUCGUAGAGCAAUGGUGCCGGCUAACGACCGGUGGAGGCGACUCUAAGGACAGUGCAACAGAAAUAAACCGCCAUAUCUUUUGGUAUGGUAAGGAUGGAAAGGUGAGGUAAGAGCUCACCGCUUUGCCGGUAACGGCAUUGGCUCUGUAAACCCCACCUGAAGCAAGACCUAUUAAAGCGUUUUGGAGCUGCUCGUUCCGCUUUGGCAUGGUCGCAUGAUGACAUCGGUAACGAUGUACCAAGAUAGAUGACCGUUUAACACAGAACCCGGCUUAUAGACUUGCUCACGAU
This 336-nucleotide RNase P RNA is filed under the name Lachnospiraceae bacterium. RNAcentral describes it as "RNase P RNA component class A". It matches the Rfam family "Bacterial RNase P class A". Rfam says of the family: Ribonuclease P (RNase P) is a ubiquitous endoribonuclease, found in archaea, bacteria and eukarya as well as chloroplasts and mitochondria. Its best characterised activity is the generation of mature 5'-ends of tRNAs by cleaving the 5'-leader elements of precursor-tRNAs. The record is from RNAcentral. Lineage: Bacteria; Bacillati; Bacillota; Clostridia; Lachnospirales; Lachnospiraceae.